Long non-coding RNA from Anopheles merus, 3221 nucleotides. RefSeq lists it as uncharacterized. The transcript is spliced from 4 exons. Lineage: Eukaryota; Metazoa; Arthropoda; Insecta; Diptera; Culicidae. The record is from RefSeq and is a predicted model, not a curated record.
GGCCUUUUUCCGUUUUUCGGGACAACUUGACCAAAAGCAGCGAAUAAAAGGCCUACUACGUGCUUGCUGUACCUUUGUGCUACGCACAGCGAACUCCGAAGCCCAAACGAAUCGAAAAACGGGUGUCCAGUUACAGGCAGUAGCCAUUGCUUGUUCAUGUGUUGCGUGUGCCGUAGGAAGAUGGCUCCAGUCGCGAUUAUCGUCAGAAAAACAAAGACACGCCAACCACCAGUCAUCUUUUUCGCUUUGCAUGCUUUGAGUGUGUCCCACCCAGCGUCCGGGUAGUGUGUUUGUGUAUUUCUGCCGGCGAAGGUGUCUAUCGAACGAACCGGAUAGAAGAACCGGGGCGCAUAUCUGACGCGUAACGCACGAUAGCUGCUCCGAAAUCGUAUCCCAGCGAGGAAGAAACCCGCUCCGAGCGUUAGGUGAAGCUCAAGAACCUCCGUCUGCCUUUUCCCAGCCUCUCGAACGUAAAGCGAACCUCGACGGGAAGGGGUACUGGUGUGAUGUCCCCGUGCACGUGUUAGAGAUUUGGCAAAUUGUUGACGGCCGGCACACGGGCGGUCAGUGAUUUUAAUGGUGUCGAGAAGAUUGACGGUGACGAUUCACUUCGGCGUGCAGCGUCUGUGCGUCGGCGAAACAGAGUGGGAGACAAACAAAACAACCGCUAGAGCGAGCAAACGAGAGAGCGAGAACGAAAGAGAAAGAGAGGGAUGCACAUGAGAGAGAAAAGUUUGGCGGGUAUUGCGUGUUGAUCGUGUGUCCGUGUGCGGUAGCGCGCGUGCUCAUCACACCGCAGCGAGUUACAAACAGAUCAUGCUGGCGGGGUGUAAAGUUUAAAAACAAAAACGAAAAGGAACGAACAGCCCAAACCGAAACGGGUUUUGUGUGUAGGAAGAUUUCUUUUGGGGUGUUUUUUUUUUAUUGUCGAGACAUGGUGCCCGGUUGCUUUCGAGACAUGGGCCCGGGUGUCGUGCGAGUGGUUAAUGAAAGCGCGCUUUUAGCCGAAACCCGUUGGCACCUUCUUAAUUAAUGAGAAACGCAACCCGACGAACGCGUGCGAUUUUCGAGACUCAAUCCGUUGCUCCGCUGACGUGUUGAUGGAGGCAGCGUGUCGAGAAAAUUAAAUCCUCAUACUAAAUUCAUUAACAUUAGCGGUUUAAUAGUGCUGUCCAAUUAAGAAACAUGCCGAUUUUAGAAGUGUGUAUUAUUCAUUGGCGCAGGUUGCCGCAGCAGCAAAUUUCUGAACCGGAGGGUUACAAAAAAUCGCAAGAUAAAAUCAACGUACUCUGGCAGCGAAUUCAUUCGUGUGCGAAUUUGAACGGUGCGGCUAAAGGCUGCAGCUUCGGAUCACACCCCCUACCUGGCUGUUCGAUAUCGAACUCGUUCAAUAUCACAUUUCAACCGAAUGCCAGACACUGAGAAGCAAAAACUACGAACGUAGUUGACCUUUGCAAUGGGGUAGGAAGCCUUGUCGUGCACCAAAAAUUUCGAGAAGAAUGGAGCGUCGAAAGAUCACGAUAAGAGCCGUCCGAUGUGCUCCCACCCAAAAAUGAGUCCCUUUCCACUGAUGGACUCGUUGGAAACCUUGCUCCAGAAGUCUGGUACGGUGCCUGGGUUUUGGACAUUUCGAGAUAAUCGAAUCCUUGCCCGCCGAGCCUCCCCGUGUCCUAGGUAACCGAUAAUUGACGCUCGGCAAAAUGGACGCGCCUGGACGCUGAUAGGAAGAUUUGUUCGUUAUCGGACGCAAACGAAACCAGAAUGAAUGUCACGAGCUGGACGAAGGGAGUUGCAGGGUUGGAAAGGUUUUGUGGGGUCGAUCGAUCGGUCCCGCCGUUAUCGAGCUUGCCCGAUCAACCAUAAAAGCCAUUCCAGGGGUCAUGUUGAUGCUUUUUGGGAAGAAUCCGGGUUCGGUCCCGAAAUCAGACAAUUGGAAGGACUGACUCACGUAUACACCACCUCCACCUCCACUCAACUCUUUGCGUACGUUGAAUCCAACACACUAUGGGGUUGUUCACAUACUUUCAGUGCUCUACGCAGUCACCAACGCAUGUAGGCGCUGUGCAUGGCGGUAGGAUAUCAUUUGUUUUGGCUAGAACCUCCCUCACUUCCGUCAAUGACCUUCCUUGUUCCUUGUGUUCCUUGUCUAUCGUUGGGCUGGCUAGUCAAAAUCUGCUCCAGGAUCGAGGUGGAAAGCCAAGCGAAUGGAUCGAAAGAUUGAAAGCAACUGAUAAGCCAAGGCAAAAAGAGGUUCUUAUCUCGCUUUCGAGCUCAUCCAUUCGUCUCACCUCCGCUCACUCGCCGUGAGGCACUACACGAACGGAAAUACCGUCAACGGUGGAAAAGUUCGUCCUUCGCUUGGAGUUUUGUUUGUUGCGAGAAACGGCGCCUCCACUAGCCAUUAUAUCGGAGCGUUCCUUCCCUCUGAGACUCUCCUCUUUUCCAUCGACUGACCUGGAUCCUGAUUGAUGGAAACUGAUAGCGAUAUUAUUAUAUUUUACAACGUAGAUACCGGACGGAGCGUCUAGAGGGUUGGGAACGAUGGUGAAAUGGUGCCACGGUUCCAGAGUUCCCGAGAGUGCCGCUGAUUACCGCUACAAAUGGCGAUGGCGAAUCGGUGAUAGUGCAAUGUUGGACCGGGUCCCCGGGAGUUCCCCGAGACAACCUGACCCGGUGGAACGUUCAGUUGAUCUGUGCUGUUUGAUAAGGACAUUCCGCCGGUCCGGUACUGUUGGAUGAUCUCACCCACCCAAACAAGGUCCCUUUGACUCGUAUGCAUAAAAGCCAGGACGUGGCAUCCGUGAACUGUGACCGUGUGUGUUUGGGAUUUCGCUGCAUCGAAUCGUCCUUGCCGUCCAACAACAUCGUCACGUGGCAGUACGCGGUUGGGGACACAUUAUGGUGCGUUUGCUUAUCGAGCCCCGGGAACUCUUCCGUCCGGGAAAUGUCUCGUUGUGUCGAGCUCCAACCCACCGGCCAACGAAAGGACUCACGGGCCAGUGACGGGUAAUGGCGGACGAUGGCGACGUCUCUAGCGAUAAGAUAAAAAUUCGUGCAAUAAACGACGAACUCCCCGAACGAACGAUACCACGAGAUCCAUCGCUUUUCGUCCCGCCCGUGUCGCUCGCCCUCAUUGCUUUCAUACUUCUGCUGGUAGGAAAUAGCACGCUAUCUAUCUUUUCUACAUCGCAGUUUUGGAUUUUUUUUGUCUGUGUUUGUAG